Molecule: ribosomal RNA, 366 nt
Filed under: Triticum aestivum (bread wheat)
Lineage: Eukaryota; Viridiplantae; Streptophyta; Magnoliopsida; Poales; Poaceae
Description: partial small subunit ribosomal RNA
Source: RNAcentral
AUGAACUAUAAUAUGCAAGGGAUGGAUAAGACGAUUCCUAAGCUCUUCACAAUGCUAAAGGCUGUGGAUGUAAAAAUCAAAAAAGAGCAUCAAGUGUUGAUGGUCAACAAGACCACCAAUUUCAAGAAAAGGGGUAAAGGGAAGAAGGGGAGCUUCAAGAAGAAUGGCAAGCAAGUUGCUGCUCAAGUGAAGAAGCCCAAGUCUGGACCUAAACCUGAGACUGAGUGCUUCUACUGCAAAGGGACUGGUCACUGGAAGCGGAACUGCCCCAAGUAUUUGGCGGAGAAGAAGGAUGGCAAAGUGGAAUGUAUAUUUGAUGUACAUGUUAUUGAUGUGUACCUUACUAAUGCUCGUAGUAAAGCCUAG